CUACAUGAAGCUGGAAUCGCUAGUAAUCGCGGAUCAGAAUGCCGCGGUGAAUACGUUCCCGGGUCUUGUACACACCGCCCGUCACACCAUGAGAGUUGGGAAUACCCGAAGCCUGUGAGCUAACAUUUAUGAGGCAGCAGUCGAAGGUAGAAUCAAUGAUUGGGGUGAAGUCGUAACAAGGUAUC
Molecule: ribosomal RNA, 185 nt
Filed under: uncultured bacterium
Lineage: Bacteria
Description: partial 16S ribosomal RNA
Rfam family: Bacterial small subunit ribosomal RNA
Source: RNAcentral